Molecule: long non-coding RNA, 941 nt
Organism: Nothoprocta perdicaria
Lineage: Eukaryota; Metazoa; Chordata; Aves; Tinamiformes; Tinamidae
Exons: 3
Source: RefSeq, a predicted model, not a curated record
CGUCGGCAGCCGCUCCGUGCUUCCUCCUGCUCUACUGCUGUUUCCCUGUGCUAGCUCUGCAAAUUUUACAGGACAAACCUCAUGACUGCUCAAGGGAUAAUGAAUCACUAGCUGGAUGCAACCAAAUGGCUCGUGGAUUUCUAAAAUAAUGCAAGGACUACACCCAAAGCCAAAAUUAAAGCAGCCUUCAUGACAAACUCCCAAAAUGAGUGUUGGAAUUGCCACGUCCACAGUAAGGUUGCAAUAAACUGCUACUAUUACUGGGAGCUUUCUACACAGCUUGAACAACAUUACAUUUAAUAUGGCAGUUCCCUUGGAAAAGCUAUUGGUUACAUUAGCACAGAUGUGACACAGAUGUGUUCAUGAGGAACUGCAGUGGAAACAAACUAUUUUAGCAAGAGUGCAAGAGUCAAAACAAUGAGUUGAUUAGAUGACCAGCUCAAUUAAAGAACUCAGGUCACAGGCACUCAUGAAGUUCUUACACACAUGUAACCUGAGCAUCCUUCAAGAUACUGAGAAGUAACUGGGUACGUCAGGACUGCACUCUUCCAGAACCGUCAUGGACAGAUUCCACAGAAGUCUUCCAUCACACCUUGACAGGCAGUUCCAUCAGUACAGACUCUUCUACAGCUACAUCAUCCUUGGUUAAACUUACUUCCAAAAGCAUUCAACAGAAACCAAAGUUUCCAAACAUAAAUUCCAUCUGUCUCAUUUCUACAUGAACUGGAAUAAUCAGAUGAAGCUUUACUUGUAUAGUUCUAAAACACAUGAAGGACCCAAUAAGCAAUUCCUUACCUAUGUUUUCCAUAAAACUAAAGUUUUCUACCAUGGACCUCAGAUCAACUUUCUUUACACACACACACACAGACAGAAAAAAAGCAGAGAAAAAAAUACUUAAGCAAGAAAAACAUCCUGAAUCCUUAGCAGUGUAUAAUAUCAUG